CCUACGGGUGGCAGCAGUGAGGAAUAUUGGUCAAUGGACGAGAGUCUGAACCAGCCAAGUAGCGUGAAGGAUGAAUGCCCUAUGGGUGGUAAACUUCUUUUAUAAAGGAAUAAAACGAGGCACGUGUGCCUGUUUGCAUGUACUUUAUGAAGAAGGAUCGGCUAACUCCGUGCCAGCAGCCGCGGUAAUACGGAGGAUCCGAGCGUUAUCCGGAUUUAUUGGGUUUAAAGGGAGCGUAGAUGGGUUGUUAAGUCAGUUGUGAAAGUUUGCGGCUCAACCGUAAAAUUGCAAUUGAUACUGGCAGUCUUGAGUACAGUUGAGGUAGGCGGAAUUCGUGGUGUAGCGGUGAAAUGCUUAGAUAUCACGAAGAACCCCGAUUGCGAAGGCAGCUUACUAAACUGUGACUGACAUUGAUGCUCGAAAGUGUGGGUAUCAAACAGGAUUAGAUACCCCUGUAGUC
Molecule: ribosomal RNA, 460 nt
Filed under: uncultured bacterium
Lineage: Bacteria
Description: partial 16S ribosomal RNA
Rfam family: Bacterial small subunit ribosomal RNA
Source: RNAcentral